ACCAGUGGGAUGCAAUCCAAUAGACAAGAAUCUCAUAUAGAAACUCACUUUUCCUUUGGACUUUAGAAAUCAAGCAACAUCAAUAAACAAGUAGCAUGAUGAAGAGAAAGGAACCAAAUAAAGGUAGCCACAUCCAAACUAGCAACUUCACAAUCUUCUUCAUAAUCUUCCCCAUGUAUCAGAUGACAUACUCCUUGAAUAGCUCAGAAUAAGGC
Molecule: long non-coding RNA, 215 nt
Filed under: Lathyrus oleraceus (garden pea)
Lineage: Eukaryota; Viridiplantae; Streptophyta; Magnoliopsida; Fabales; Fabaceae
Description: Pisum sativum (pea) long non-coding RNA (PSAT_LNC024322)
Source: RNAcentral